This 445-nucleotide ribosomal RNA is filed under the name uncultured bacterium. Its description in RNAcentral is "partial 16S ribosomal RNA". It matches the Rfam family "Bacterial small subunit ribosomal RNA", at positions 354 to 796 of the family's 1533-position model. The record is from RNAcentral.
GUGAGGAAUAUUGGUCAAUGGGCGAGAGCCUGAACCAGCCAAGUCGCGUGAAGGAUGAAGGUUUUAUGAAUUGUAAACUUCUUUUGCAGGGGAAUAAAGUACGGUACGUGUACCGUUUUGUAUGUACUCUGCGAAUAAGGAUCGGCUAACUCCGUGCCAGCAGCCGCGGUAAUACGGAGGAUCCAAGCGUUAUCCGGAUUUAUUGGGUUUAAAGGGUGCGCAGGCGGGUUGAUAAGUCAGCGGUGAAAGUUUGCAGCUUAACUGUAAAAAUGCCGGUGAAACUGUCGGACUUGAGUGUAAAUGAGGUAGGCGGAAUGCGUGGUGUAGCGGUGAAAUGCAUAGAUAUCACGCAGAACUCCGAUUGCGAAGGCAGCUUACUAAGCUACAACUGACACUGAAGCACGAAAGCGUGGGGAUCAAACAGGAUUAGAAACCCUAGUAGUCC